UGGAUCGGUAGAGGAGUGCCGCUC
Molecule: non-coding RNA, 24 nt
Filed under: Arabidopsis thaliana (thale cress)
Lineage: Eukaryota; Viridiplantae; Streptophyta; Magnoliopsida; Brassicales; Brassicaceae
Source: RNAcentral